GAUCAUGGCUCAGGAUGAACGCUGGCGGCGUGCUUAACACAUGCAAGUCGAACGGGAAACAUUUUAUUGAAGCUUCGGCAGAUUUAGCUUGUUUCUAGUGGCGGACGGGUGAGUAACGCGUGGGUAACCUGCCUUAUACCGGGGGAUAACAGCCGGAAAUGACUGCUAAUACCGCAUAAGCGCACAGAACCGCAUGGUUCGGUGUGAAAAACUCCGGUGGUAUAAGAUGGACCCGCGUUGGAUUAGCUAGUUGG
Molecule: ribosomal RNA, 254 nt
Filed under: uncultured bacterium
Lineage: Bacteria
Description: partial 16S ribosomal RNA
Rfam family: Bacterial small subunit ribosomal RNA
Source: RNAcentral